AAACAAACAACAAAUCUGUAUUCACAAGCCAAACAACAAAGAUUCCUUUCUUCCUUUUUUAUGCUUUUCAAGAAACUCCAAAAUUUAUGAAAAUGCUCAUGGACAAUGUUAAACUCCAAUCUACAGUAUCAACCUUCUUUCAUUUUGGUGCAACUCAAUGUGCAGAGCAUUCACUUUGAGUAUUAUUGGUUAACCAAUAGCUGCUCGCCAUGUGUACUUGAUGCCACUUGAUAUCUAGCUGCAUUUUCCAUUUUCAAUCUGCCUUCGUGAUCAGACACUACUGUAGUAGCAGAAGCCUUCGUCGUAGCGGAGCUCACACCCUUCUUUCUCCUCUUCGGCGACCCACUCUCCGACCCUGAUGAUGUCGAAGAUGAUGGCUCCGGUGAUGACCUCUUCGAAGUCACUCUCACAGGGUCCGGCUCCCCGGAAUUCACCCUCAAUGGGAAAUUCAACAAAGCCUUCGACCCACGCAUUCUAUAUGCGGCGCGAUCAUAUGCCAAAGCCGCAUCCUCCGCUGUCUCGAAUGUGCCUAACCAAACCCGAGCCCCUUUUUUUGCCGGGUCUCGAAUCUCCGCUGCGAAUUUACCCCACGGCCGCCGCCUGACUCCCCUGUAAUGCUUCCCCUUCGCAGGGGCCGCUGCGGGAGUAGUAGUAACAGCAGCAUCAGCAUCUUGAGACUCAAUCGUCUCAGGAGGCAGUACAGUGGUCGCCGGAGUAGCAACACUCUCCUGCAACAACGCGAAAUUCUCCUGGGGUUCCAACUUCACCGGAGGGAAAUCCGGUUGCAGCUCAUUCUUGAGGCAAGGGACCCAGCCAACAGUGAGAGCGUCGCGGAGGACGCCGUAAAGCACCAUAUCUUCAGAAUCAUCGACUUUGAGUGGCAAAUCGCCCCAAGUUUCCGUUAAACAAGGGUACAAACUGCCAAAGCUUGAGCUCCUGCAAUAUACAGGGGUAGUGGCAGGAAGAGCAGGGGUUGAAUUAUUACAAGAAGCCAUGGAUUCUCCUAGCAAGUGCCACCGAACUGAUUCAAGAAGGGCAAAAUCGGUCUCACUUUGUCCGUUCAUUUCCUGAAACCUAAAGAAAGAUUACAGACAAGAGAAAAUCUACGAUUAAGGUAAGUGCUCUGUUCUUCUGUUGCGUUGCUUGAGGUUGUCGGU
RNAcentral lists this unclassified non-coding RNA (1157 nucleotides) under Hevea brasiliensis (rubber tree). Lineage: Eukaryota; Viridiplantae; Streptophyta; Magnoliopsida; Malpighiales; Euphorbiaceae. The record is from RNAcentral.